This 253-nucleotide ribosomal RNA is filed under the name uncultured bacterium. RNAcentral describes it as "partial 16S ribosomal RNA". It matches the Rfam family "Bacterial small subunit ribosomal RNA", at positions 524 to 776 of the family's 1533-position model. The record is from RNAcentral.
UACGUAGGGUCCGAGCGUUGUCCGGAAUUAUUGGGCGUAAAGCGCGCGCAGGCGGUUCUUUAAGUCUGAUGUGAAAGCCCACGGCUCAACCGUGGAGGGUCAUUGGAAACUGGAGAACUUGAGUACAGAAGAGGAAAGCGGAAUUCCACGUGUAGCGGUGAAAUGCGUAGAGAUGUGGAGGAACACCAGUGGCGAAGGCGGCUUUCUGGUCUGUAACUGACGCUGAGGCGCGAAAGCGUGGGGAGCAAACAGG